GCGGCGGCCUACACAUGCAAGUCGAACGCUUCAGCAAUGAAGAGUGGCAGACGGGUGAGUAACGCGUGGGAACCUUCCCAGUGGUACGGAAUAGCCCAGGGAAACUUGGGGUAAUACCGUAUAAGCCCUUCGGGGGAAAGAUUUAUCGCCAUUGGAUGGGCCCGCGUCGGAUUAGCUUGUUGGUGAGGUAAAAGCUCACCAAGGCGACGAUCCGUAGCUGGUCUGAGAGGAUGAUCAGCCACACUGGGACUGAGACACGGCCCAGACUCCUACGGGAGGCAGCAGUGGG
Molecule: ribosomal RNA, 289 nt
Filed under: uncultured Alphaproteobacteria bacterium
Lineage: Bacteria; Pseudomonadati; Pseudomonadota; Alphaproteobacteria
Description: partial 16S ribosomal RNA
Rfam family: Bacterial small subunit ribosomal RNA
Source: RNAcentral